AGUCACGGGGGGUAGCAAUACCAACCGGCGAACGGGUGCGUAACACGUGAACAACCUGCCCUCGUGUGGGGGAUAGCCGGGCUAACGCCCGGGUAAUACCGCAUACGUUCCCCUGGGGGAGUCCUCGGGGGAGGAAAGCUCCGGCGCACGGGGAGGGGUUCGCGGCCUAUCAGCUAGUUGGCGGGGUAAUGGCCCACCAAGGCGACGACGGGUAGCUGGUCUGAGAGGAUGGCCAGCCACAUUGGGACUGAGAGACGGCCCAGACUCCUACGGGAGGCAGCAGUGGGGAAUCUUGCGCAAUGGCCGAAAGGCUGACGCAGCGACGCCGCGUGUGGGAGGACGCCUUUCGGGGUGUAAACCACUGUUGCCCGGGACGAACGAGCUCUUUCGAGAGCUGUGACGGUACCGGGUGAGGAAGCACAGGCUAACUCCGUGCCAGCAGCCGCGGUAAUACGGAGGGUGCGAGCGUUGUCCGGAAUCAUUGGGCGUAAAGGGCGCGUAGGUGGCCCGGUCAGUUCGUGGUGAAAGCGCGGGGCUCAACCCUGCGUCGGCCAUGAAUACUGCCGCGGCUGGAGCACUGUAGAGGCAGGCGGAAUUCCGGGUGUAGCGGUGGAAUGCGUAGAGAUCCGGAAGAACACCGGUGGCGAAGGCGGCCUGCUGGGCAGUUUGCUGACACUGAGGCGCGACAGCGUGGGGAGCAAACAGGAUUAGAUACCCUGGUAGUCCACGCCGUAAACGAUGGGCACUAGGCGCUUGGGGGAGCGACCCCCCGAGGGCCGGCGCUAACGCAUUAAGUGCCCCGCCUGGGGAGUACGGCCGCAAGGCUGAAACUCAAAGGAAUUGACGGGGGCC
This 852-nucleotide ribosomal RNA is filed under the name uncultured Gemmatimonadota bacterium. Its description in RNAcentral is "bacterial SSU rRNA". It matches the Rfam family "Bacterial small subunit ribosomal RNA", at positions 60 to 921 of the family's 1533-position model. Lineage: Bacteria; Pseudomonadati; Gemmatimonadota. The record is from RNAcentral.